AAAAAGGGUACUCACUUUACUUUAAUUUCAUAGUGCAUUGUUGGUGAUGCCUUUGCGUGUUGUCAGCAGUGAGGUAUGGUUAUCAAGACAUACCUAGUACACAAUUUUUGUAACCAGAGGCUGUUAAAUUUUGAAGACGCCUCU
This 144-nucleotide small nuclear RNA is filed under the name Mayetiola destructor (Hessian fly). RNAcentral describes it as "U11 spliceosomal RNA". It matches the Rfam family "U11 spliceosomal RNA". Lineage: Eukaryota; Metazoa; Arthropoda; Insecta; Diptera; Cecidomyiidae. The record is from RNAcentral.